RNAcentral lists this ribosomal RNA (492 nucleotides) under uncultured bacterium. Its description in RNAcentral is "partial 16S ribosomal RNA". It matches the Rfam family "Bacterial small subunit ribosomal RNA", at positions 29 to 507 of the family's 1533-position model. The record is from RNAcentral.
AGUGAACGCUGGCGGUAGGCCUAACACAUGCAAGUCGAACGGCAGCACAGUAAGAGCUUGCUCUUACGGGAGGCGAGUGGCGGAGGGGUGAGGAAUACAUCGGAAUCUACUUUUUCGUGGGGGAUAACGUAGGGAAACUUACGCUAAUACCGCAUACUACCUACGGGUGAAAGCAGGGGAUCUUCGGACCUUGCGCGAUUGAAUGAGCCGAUGUCGGAUUAGCUAGUUGGCGGGGUAAAGGCCCACCAAGGCGACGAUCCGUAGCUGGUCUGAGAGGAUGAUCCGCCCCACCGGAACUGAGACACGGUCCAGACUCCUACGGGAGGGAGCAGUGGGGAAUAUUGGACAAUGGGCGCAAGCCUGAUCCAGCCAUACCGCGUGGGUGAAGAAGGCCUUCGGGUUGUAAAGCCCUUUUGUUGGGAAAGAAAAGCAGCAGGUUAAUACCCCGCUGUUCUGACGGUACCCAAAGAAUAAGCACCGGCUAACUUCGUG